CAUCACCACGGUGAUAACAGAUGAUGCUGAUCAAUAUCCGCAACCAAUUCUAGCCAAAUAUUUGGAAAGCUGGACUCUACAACCUAUACUCUACAACAAAUACCCGGGUAUUCUACAAACACAACCUCCAGCAAUGUAUCUAAGGAAUGUAAACUUCUACAGGCAUUUAAAGACUUUGGAUUACAAAUACAAUUACUACUUUUAAUUUUGGAUUACAAUUCGUAUCCGGAUCUAUCCAAGAAUAUCUUACUCUGGAACUUGGUGUUCUUUUCAAUUCUUU
This 280-nucleotide long non-coding RNA is filed under the name Pelobates cultripes (western spadefoot toad). Lineage: Eukaryota; Metazoa; Chordata; Amphibia; Anura; Pelobatidae. The record is from RNAcentral.